AUUGAACGCUGGCGGCAGGCCUAACACACGCAAGUCGAGCGGCAGCGGGAAGUAGCUUGCUACUUUGCCGGCGAGCCGCGGACGGGUGAGUAAUGUCUGGGAAACUGCCUGAUGGAGGGGGAUAACUACUGGAAACGGUAGCUAAUACCGCAUAAUGUCGCAAGACCAAAGAGGGGGACCUUCGGGCCUCUUGCCAUCAGAUGUGCCCAGAUGGGAUUAGCCAGUAGGUGGGGUAACGGCUCACCUAGGCGACGACCCCUGGCUGGUCUGAGGGGAUGACCAGCCACACUGGAACUGAGAAACGGUCCAGACUCCUACGGGAGGCAGCAGUGGGGAAUAUUGCACAAUGGGCGCAAGCCUGAUGCAGCCAUGCCGCGUGUAUGAAGAAGGCCUUCGGGUUGUAAAGUACUUUCAGCGGGGAGGAAGGUGUCGAGGUUAAUAACCUCAGCAAUUGACGUUACCCGCAGAAGAAGCACCGGCUAACUCCGUGCCAGCAGCCGCAGUAA
Molecule: ribosomal RNA, 506 nt
Filed under: uncultured bacterium
Lineage: Bacteria
Description: partial 16S ribosomal RNA
Rfam family: Bacterial small subunit ribosomal RNA
Source: RNAcentral